RNAcentral lists this ribosomal RNA (504 nucleotides) under uncultured bacterium. RNAcentral describes it as "partial 16S ribosomal RNA". It matches the Rfam family "Bacterial small subunit ribosomal RNA", at positions 28 to 523 of the family's 1533-position model. The record is from RNAcentral.
GAUGAACGCUAGCGACAGGCCUAACACAUGCAAGUCGAGGGGCAGCACAUGAGUAGCAAUACGAUGGUGGCGACCGGCGCACGGGUGAGUAACACGUAUGCAACCUGCCUUCUACUAUGGGAUAACCCGUUGAAAGACGGACUAAUACCGUAUAAUACAGGGGCUCCGCAUGGAGAUAUUUGUUAAAGAUUUAUUGGUAGAAGAUGGGCAUGCGUAUGAUUAGAUAGUUGGUGAGGUAACGGCUCACCAAGUCAACGAUCAUUAGGGGUUCUGAGAGGAAGGUCCACCACACUGGUACUGAGACACGGACCAGACUCCUACGGGAGGCAGCAGUGAGGAAUAUUGGUCAAUGAACGAGAGUCUGAACCAGCCAAGUCGCGUGAAGGAAGACGGUUCUAUGAAUUGUAAACUUCUUUUGUGCAGGAAUAAAGUGGGUUACGUGUAACCUUUUGUAUGUACUGUACGAAUAAGGAUCGGCUAACUCCGUGCCAGCCGCCGCGGUAA